UGGAAUGUAGCUCAGGUGGAAGAGUGCACUGCAAAAGUGAGGUCGCAGGUUCGAUUCCUGCCAUUCCGA
This 69-nucleotide transfer RNA is filed under the name Caudoviricetes sp. RNAcentral's name for it is "tRNA-Leu". It matches the Rfam family "tRNA". Rfam says of the family: Transfer RNA (tRNA) molecules are approximately 80 nucleotides in length. Lineage: Duplodnaviria; Heunggongvirae; Uroviricota; Caudoviricetes. The record is from RNAcentral.